RNAcentral lists this ribosomal RNA (468 nucleotides) under uncultured bacterium. RNAcentral describes it as "partial 16S ribosomal RNA". It matches the Rfam family "Bacterial small subunit ribosomal RNA", at positions 28 to 507 of the family's 1533-position model. The record is from RNAcentral.
GACGAACGCUGGCGGCGUGCUUAACACAUGCAAGUCGAACGGAAAGGCCCUGCUUUUGUGGGGUUCUCGAGUGGCGAACGGGUGAGUAACACGUGAGUAACCUGCCCUUGACUUUGGGAUAACUUCAGGAAACUGGGGCUAAUACCGGAUAGGAGCUCCUGCUGCAUGGUGGGGGUUGGAAAGUUUCGGCGGUUGGGGAUGGACUGGCGGCUUAUCAGCUUGUUGGUGGGGUAGUGGCUUACCAAGGCUUUGACGGGUAGCCGGCAUGAGAGGGUGAACGGCCACAUUGGGACUGAGAUACGGCCCAGACUCCUACGGGAGGCAGCAGUGGGGAAUAUUGCACAAUGGGCGGAAGCCUGAUGCAGCAACGCCGCGUGCGGGAUGACGGCCUUCGGGUUGUAAACCGCUUUCGCCUGUGACGAGGCGUGAGUGACGGUAAUGGGUAAAGAAGCACCGGCUAACUACGUG